Astatotilapia calliptera (eastern happy) is the source of this 1820-nucleotide long non-coding RNA. NCBI's taxonomy places the organism in Eukaryota, Metazoa, Chordata, Actinopteri, Cichliformes, Cichlidae. The record is from Ensembl.
AUAGUAUAUGAUGCAGUGUUUUAUCCAGUAACUGAGAAUGGUGCUCAAUAUGUUUUAUUUAAAGACAAUGUAUUUCUAAUUGAUGUUAUUGCAUCUCAGUCUAUCAGCACUGAAGCAAGCCUUGCUCUACUUUCCUUAACAUAUAUUAAACAGAUACGAUCCUCCAUGAAAAGUCCCUUAGAGCAUCUCCCUGCAGUAAAUCUGCUUUUCUCCAUACGUGCUUGUUAAUUAGCUCUGUUCCAUAUCUUGCUGUGUGUUUCUAAUGCCAAACAGAUCUCAUGUCCUCCCUCUCUCUCUCUCCCAGCACUGUCCAGAGCUGUACGAGAGCUAAUUGGCAGCUCGCUUGCCUGCCGCGACGGUGAUCAUGCAAAUGUAUUGGUGCUUACCAAUAGCCGGGCCCAUCAAAACAUUACGACGGCCAUUACCCAGAGCUGGGGCUGGCCUAACGAACAUAUGCUCCCCCGCCCGACAACCUCCCCCCAAUUCCUAAACUCUUAUUUAUGUGUUUAAUUUAAUGUGCGAGGGAAGAAUUUCCGAAAUUAAAUUUGGUUUUCGUUGGUGCCUCAAGAGAGUGGCAGCGUUAUAAUAACAUGGUAAUUUUUUACACGUCUUUAUGAGAAAUGAGAAAAUUAAUUCUUUCUGACAAGCUGUAAUUAUUGGGCUUGGAACAGUUGCAGCUGAACAGUUUGGGCUGUGGUAGCCUGGCAGUGAGCUGAAAGAGGGAGAGAGAGAGAGAAAAGGGGGGUGGAGGAGAGAGAGAAUGGAAACACAGUGAGACCGAAAGGGAGAGAAAGAGUUUAGUAGUGAAGCCAGAAUUGUAUACAGGGACAAAGUUGAAAGAAAUGAAGAAAAAAAGAGGACAAGCUGAAAGAUGUAAGGUGAAGAUAAAAGGGGCAGAGUUGGUUCAGUCAGGAUAAAUACGAGUAGGCACAGGAGGUGAGGGUUGGGUGAAAAAUGGAGAGAAGAGAAGUUGAUGAAAUUAGAAGAAAAAGACGAAACAAAAGGGCGAGGGUUAGAGGAAAAAAACAGCAGCAGCGUGAUCAGCUGGAUAGUAGCAUAGUAUAGAUGAGGGGAGAAGGGCAGAGUGUGCAUGCUUUGGAGGGAUAAGUUGAGAGGAGACAAGGUUAUAAGAAGUUAUGAUAGAGGGGGUUGAAAGUGGAAGAAGAUGGAGUUAAUGCAGAGCACUCGAGGUUAGACAAAAGGAAGAAAUAGAAGGUAAGCGGUAGUAGGUGAUGAAGAGUAAAAGAUAUGAUGGUGAUACAAUACAGGAGAGAAGAUGAGGAUGAAAGGCAAAAAGGAAUGUGGAUGGGGAGGGAAGGAAUGUGAGGAGGACAGGUUGGAUUAAAGAAAGAAAAGCAGAAGAUUUACUGAGGAGAAAGUAGAAUGCUAGUAGUAGCUAAUGGUUCAGCAGGUGUGAGGAAAGAAGGGAAUGGGUUGAUGAUGUGUGUGAGCACGCAGUGUUUGGUUGGGAGGGAUAAGAGUUGUUUGACAAACUCAAGAGAAGAAGAGUUAUGAAUCACUGGAGAGGUACACAGAUGGCACAGUAUGAGGGACGGGAGGUACUGAUGGAGGUGGAGGAGGGCGUUGCGUUAAAGGAAAGAAAAAGACAGGAACGGGAUAGAAUAUAGGAGUCGGGAGAGGGGUGGAGAUGGAAGGUAUUGUAAGGAGUCAUGUCUCGCUUUGUUAAAUCAGGCAGGAGUUCCUGUCUUCUUAUAUGAUGUCAUCAGAGGAAGCUCCUCUACAGCAUCAGCAGCGCCGUCUGUGUCAAGGUUAUAACACAUUAAUAUGCACAGUCUACAGCCGCCUGGCCUCACUCCAGG